This 390-nucleotide ribosomal RNA is filed under the name uncultured soil bacterium. RNAcentral's name for it is "bacterial SSU rRNA". It matches the Rfam family "Bacterial small subunit ribosomal RNA", at positions 26 to 430 of the family's 1533-position model. The record is from RNAcentral.
AGAUUGAACGCUGGCGGCAUGCCUAACACAUGCAAGUCGAACGGGAGUAGCAAUACUCUAGUGGCGGACGGGUGAGGAAUACGUAGGAAUUUGCCCUUAAGUGGGGGAUAACCCGGGGAAACCCGGAUUAAUACCGCAUGACCUCGAAAGAGCAAAGUGGGGGAUCGCAAGACCUCACGCUUUUGGAGAAGCCUACGUCGGAUUAGCUAGUUGGUGAGGUAAUGGCUCACCAAGGCGACGAUCCGUAACUGGUCUGAGAGGAUGAUCAGUCACACCGGAACUGAGACACGGUCCGGACUCCUACGGGAGCAGCAGUGGGGAAUAUUGGACAAUGGGCGCAAGCCUGAUCCAGCAAUGCCGCGUGUGUGAAGAAGGCCUUGGGUUGUAAAG